UCACUUUCAACAACGGAUNCUNCUUGGUCCUCGCAUCGAUGAAGAACGUAGCGAAGUGCGAUAUGUAAUGUGAAUUGCAGAAUUNCCGUGAAUCNANUCNGAAUCUUUGAACGCAAAUUGCACUCUCUUCGGGGAGUAUGCCUGUUUGAGGGUCA
RNAcentral lists this ribosomal RNA (155 nucleotides) under uncultured Rhizophagus. RNAcentral describes it as "5.8S ribosomal RNA". It matches the Rfam family "5.8S ribosomal RNA". Rfam says of the family: 5.8S ribosomal RNA (5.8S rRNA) is a component of the large subunit of the eukaryotic ribosome. It is transcribed by RNA polymerase I as part of the 45S precursor that also contains 18S and 28S rRNA. Lineage: Eukaryota; Fungi; Glomeromycota; Glomeromycetes; Glomerales; Glomeraceae. The record is from RNAcentral.